GUGAAUCAUCGAAUUUUUGAGCGCAAAUUGCACUCUCUGGUAUUCCGGAGAGUAUGCCUGUUUGAGGGUCAGUUUAAAUAAAAAGCGGUGUGGUUGCUGCCUUUCGUGGUGACGCACGGGAUGUGGGUAGUCUUGCCUUGGGUUAAGAGACCUAAAAUUUGGAAUGGUUUUUUCGAAAGAAUGUAAAUGAUUUUAGGGAAGUUUGCGAUACCGAAUACUAGGUGUGGUAAACCUCAUGAUUCGCGCAGGUAGUUUUUCAUCAAAAAGA
RNAcentral lists this unclassified non-coding RNA (268 nucleotides) under Glomeraceae sp. RNAcentral's name for it is "partial contains 5.8S ribosomal RNA and internal transcribed spacer 2". The stretch from base 1 to 71 matches the Rfam family "5.8S ribosomal RNA", at positions 84 to 154 of the family's 154-position model. Lineage: Eukaryota; Fungi; Glomeromycota; Glomeromycetes; Glomerales; Glomeraceae. The record is from RNAcentral.